GAUGAACGCUGGCGGCGUGCCUAAUACAUGCAAGUCGAGCGAACAGACGAGGAGCUUGCUCCUCUGACGUUAGCGGCGGACGGGUGAGUAACACGUGGAUAACCUACCUAUAAGACUGGGAUAACUUCGGGAAACCGGAGCUAAUACCGGAUAAUAUAUUGAACCGCAUGGUUCAAUAGUGAAAGACGGUUUUGCUGUCACUUAUAGAUUGAUCCGCGCCGCAUUAGCUAGUUGGUAAGGUAACGGCAUACCAAGGCAACGAUGCGUAGCCGACCUGAGAGGGUGAUCGGCCACACUGGAACUGAGACACGGUCCAGACUCCUACGGGAGGCAGCAGUAGGGAAUCUUCCGCAAUGGGCGAAAGCCUGACGGAGCAACGCCGCGUGAGUGAUGAAGGUCUUCGGAUCGUAAAACUCUGUUAUUAGGGAAGAACAAAUGUGUAAGUAACUAUGCACGUCUUGACGGUACCUAAUCAGAAAGCCACGGCUAACUACGUG
Molecule: ribosomal RNA, 497 nt
Filed under: uncultured bacterium
Lineage: Bacteria
Description: partial 16S ribosomal RNA
Rfam family: Bacterial small subunit ribosomal RNA
Source: RNAcentral